Corticium candelabrum is the source of this 920-nucleotide long non-coding RNA. RefSeq lists it as uncharacterized. The record is from RefSeq and is a predicted model, not a curated record. The transcript is spliced from 7 exons. Lineage: Eukaryota; Metazoa; Porifera; Homoscleromorpha; Homosclerophorida; Plakinidae.
AUGUAGCAAUGUUUUGUCACGUGACGUUCUCCGACUGUCUUCGAAAGUGGGUUCUACGGUUGAGAGACGGGAUCUUGUGAAACGUGUUGGUCAGAGUUCGGUCGAGAUGUGUGCUCAUCGAUUCAACCAGUUGAGCAAUUGGGUCAUUGUGUCGAUUCUUGAUGAAGAGACGCGUGAGGAGAGGGUUGUUAUGCUUUCUAAGAUGAUUCAAGUCGCGAGGCAGUGUCUUCAUUGUCGGAACUAUAAUGCAAUGGUGGCGAUGGUGGUGGCCGGGUUGGGAUCUAGUCCGAUUCGACGGUUGAAGAAGACGUGGCAGAUGCUUGAGAAAGACACACUCGACCUCUUCCUAAAAAUGGAACAUCUAGUUUGAAUAAAAAACAACUACAAGAACUACAGGCAAUAUCUGAGAGCAACCAAUCCCCCAGCUGUACCCUACUUUGGUUUGUACUUGAAAGAUCUAACCUUUAUCAAGGACGGUAACCCGCACACCCUGAAAGGUGGUCUCGUCAACUGGACCAAACGACAUCAAAUUUUUGCCGUCCUAUCCGAGCUACACACAUUUCAGAGUUCGAAAUACAACAUUCGACCAGUUCCUCCAAUCAUUCAAUAUCUACUAUCACACCAAUUGACCCGGAUAUCAACCUGCACGAGAAAUCAAGAUCGCUGGAAACGACAGCAAAACGCACAACAAACUCGAGUGCUGGCACUGCUGGCAACUAGCACCGUGAAGCACACACGUAACAGUUACUAUACUAAACAGUCAUAUAAUCCGAAUCUUUAUUAACGUACGUUAAGUAAGUAAUCCCGUAUGUCCUAUUAGUCCAGAUUAUUUAUUUACGAUGAUGUACAGUGGACAGAGCAGGUUUAUUGGGUGCUGACGUGGAACGUCAAUAGACUCUUAGUUGAUUGUAUACUCACAA